GGAGAUGUAGCUCAGUUGGUAGAUUGCUUGUCUCACAUGAACAAAUCCCUGAGUUCAAUUCCCCAGCAUUACAA
This 74-nucleotide transfer RNA is filed under the name Marmota monax (woodchuck). RNAcentral's name for it is "tRNA.Val". Lineage: Eukaryota; Metazoa; Chordata; Mammalia; Rodentia; Sciuridae. The record is from RNAcentral.